AGCAGUAGCCGCGGGAAUACGGAGGGUGCAAGCGUUAAUCGGAAUUACUGGGCGUAAAGCGCACGCAGGCGGUCUGACAAGUCAGAUGUGAAAUCCCCGGGCUUAACCUGGGAACUGCAUUUGAAACUGUCAGGCUGGAGUCUUGUAGAGGGGGGUAGAAUUCCAGGUGUAGCGGUGAAAUGCGUAGAGAUCUGGAGGAAUACCGGUGGCGAAGGCGGCCCCCUGGACAAAGACUGACGCUCAGGUGCGAAAGCGUGGGGAGCAAACAGGAUUAGAGACCCCUGUAGUCCCUGUCUCUUAUAA
This 303-nucleotide ribosomal RNA is filed under the name uncultured bacterium. RNAcentral's name for it is "partial 16S ribosomal RNA". It matches the Rfam family "Bacterial small subunit ribosomal RNA", at positions 507 to 809 of the family's 1533-position model. The record is from RNAcentral.